CAUUUAUAGAAGGACCAAGGGCUGCAGCUUGUCCUGCAGUCCUGACAGAGAUCAAGCUGUUACAAGGAAAAUGAAUCCAUGAAGCAGAGACAAGCAGAAGAGUCCAAGGUUGCAGUCAGGGAAUUGCUGG
Molecule: long non-coding RNA, 130 nt
Filed under: Coturnix japonica (Japanese quail)
Lineage: Eukaryota; Metazoa; Chordata; Aves; Galliformes; Phasianidae
Description: lncRNA (ENSCJPG00005012573.1)
Source: RNAcentral